Long non-coding RNA from Camelus dromedarius (Arabian camel), 1891 nucleotides. RefSeq lists it as uncharacterized. The record is from RefSeq and is a predicted model, not a curated record. The transcript has 4 exons. Lineage: Eukaryota; Metazoa; Chordata; Mammalia; Artiodactyla; Camelidae.
UUGUAUUUGCAAAUGUACACACCCUGUGGGAGGUGAUCUGUACAUACGCUGAGAUACUGUACAUAAAAUUGCCUCUGAAUCCCAAUCAUCUGAAAACCGUGUCCUCAGCCUUUGAUACCUUCAGCUGUUUUAUGAAAGUCCUCCAAGUGGAUGAAAGUAUCAACAACCGGAACAAGAGUUUUUCAUUGCCCUAUUUGAGAAGAGCUGCGUGAACGACUUUUAUAUUCAGGAUAGAGAUACAUUCAUCAAUCCAACCACCAGGAGCCGCACUUGCAACUUCAGCCUCCAUCAGAGGACCUCAGCUGCCCCAGCGAACAGGGCCUUCUGUACAGGGAAUGUGCUCCUCCUCGAAGCAUAGACAAGAAGCAGCCCUUAGAUCUCAUCAGGAAAUUCUACGGAGAGAAGGUCGGAAUCUACUUUGCUUGGGCUGGGCUAUUACAUUCAGAUGCUCCUCCUGGCAGCAGUCGUGGGGGUGACUUGCUUUCUGAAGAAGAGAGUUUUCCAUUUACCACCUGGGGAAAGUUUAUACAUAUAACCCUUUGUGCAAGUGCUCUUUUUCUGGGUAAGAACCUGCCACAGACUUUUUAAAAUCUAAUGUGAAAUCCUGAGAAAACUGAAAAUCAAGCUGGGAACUAUGAAGUCUCAUAGAGAAAACUUUUUCCAGAGAACAUCUGAGCCAAUGCAGGGCGCCACUCUGGAGGUUCCACAGUCUCUUCUGCUCACAGUGCUUCCCCCUAUUCUUUUCACCUCAUUUGUUCAAAUCAGAUCAGUGGUUUAGGAUUCUCCAGGGUCUGAUUAAGAGACCAGAUGGAGGCAUUAAGAUUUCUAAAAUUUCCCAAGAGUAACAACCAAGGUAAAAUGUCUAAGAAUAACCUAAGAAAAGGAUAGUAGGAACUAUCAAAAAAUAAAAGUAAAAACUACUGAAAGAUAUAAAAGAUGCUUUAAUCACAUGAUUCUAGAUUAAAAGAUCAUAUCUCCAAAAUAUCAGAAGUUAUAAAAUUGAUUUGGGGUUUAUUGUGAAUAAAAUCAUAUUAGUAAUAUAAUAAUUAAUAAGAUAAUGAGACUUUUAGUAGUUCAAGAAUAGCCAGAUUAGAAAAUAGGACAGGAAGUCCAGAUAUGGGCUCUGAUAUCAAUAAUAAUUUAAUAUAAGAGAUGGAAGGCAUUACAAAUCAGGGAGAUAAAUAAAGGUUAUUCAGUGAAUGGAACACUCGUUAGCUACUUGGGGGGAAAAGAAAAGAUUGAAAUCAUACAGUGAACCAUAUAUUGUGAUAAAUUCCAGAAACAUUUAAAAAGUAACACAAUUAGAAAAAAACUAGAAAUAAAUAUGGAUGUUUACACAAACUCUAGAUGAACAGUAAGUUUCUGAGGAAAGUAUACAAAGAUUUCCAUGCAUCAGAAGCAUCCUAAUUUUAAACAAAACACCAGAGGAUGUUAUUUGUUUACAAAUCCAACAAGGGGCUAAUUCCUUCAAUACAUAGAGAGUUCAGAUCACUUCAAAGGUAACAUCAAAAAAUCUCAGGAGCAUAGAAGGCAGAGAAAAGGAACACACAUUCACAAAGAAAAAUAGAUGUCACACUCCAAUGGUAAUUCACUCAGUGCACAUCAAAAUGAAGUAGUUUUCCACCUCUCAAGUGACACAGCUCUGUUUAUGAGGAUGAAAUGCCAGUGAUCACCAAUCCCAUGCCUAGGUUACUGGAUAUUUUUUGUGAAGUAUGGUUGAUUUACAAUGCUGUGUUAAUUUCUGGUGUACUCCUCAAGCUUUCUUAGAAAGCAGUCUGGCAGUUGAUAUCAAGAGUCAAAAAUAUUCCUAUGUUUUAAUCAACUAAUUCAGCUUUGAAAAACUUUUAAUCAGGAAGUAUUUCAAAAUGGCAGGGAAAAGUCAGUACGGAUG